AGAUGGUGGAAGCCUCUCUGACCAAAUCCUGGGGAUUGUCAUAGAUGAUGUGUGUGAUAUCUUAGUUGAUGAGUGUGAUGUCAUGGUAGUUCUCAAGCAAUUGAACAACAUGUGCUCUCAUUAUGACUGGUGUAACCGGCUAGUCGAGCGCUAAACUAAGAGGCAGGGCCUUGCAGGGAAAUCUGUUCAUUUUUCCUCUACUUCAAAGGGUACGUGGCGAUCCACACUCUCACAUUCAACACGUAGGAGAUACUGUCGACAGGAAAGAACUGGUACCUGGCGAUCCACACUCUCACAUUCAACACGUAGGAGAUACUGUCGACAGGAAAGAACUUCUGCUGAAAGGACACCAUCAAUGGCUUCUGAGAAUGAAGAUGUUCCUCCUCCUGGUCCGAUCCAGUUUUUGUCAGUGCGGCCAGACUCAGUGUCAUUAUGCUGGUCACCUCCAGAGGACG
Molecule: long non-coding RNA, 455 nt
Organism: Engraulis encrasicolus (European anchovy)
Lineage: Eukaryota; Metazoa; Chordata; Actinopteri; Clupeiformes; Engraulidae
Exons: 4
Source: RefSeq, a predicted model, not a curated record